UACGUAGGGCGCAAGCGUUGUCCGGAAUUAUUGGGCGUAAAGAGCUCGUAGGCGGUUUGUCACGUCGGAUGUGAAACCCUGAGGCUCAACCUCAGGCCUGCAUUCGAUACGGGCAGACUAGAAUUCGGCAGGGGAGACUGGAAUUCCUGGUGUAGCGGUGAAAUGCGCAGAUAUCAGGAGGAACACCGGUGGCGAAGGCGGGUCUCUGGAACGCAACUGACGCUGAGACGCGAAAGCGUGGGGAGCAAACAGG
This 253-nucleotide ribosomal RNA is filed under the name uncultured bacterium. RNAcentral's name for it is "partial 16S ribosomal RNA". It matches the Rfam family "Bacterial small subunit ribosomal RNA", at positions 524 to 776 of the family's 1533-position model. The record is from RNAcentral.